CCGUAUCGAGUCCGAGGAGAAGAUGUUAGACAACAAGGGGAAUGGCCAAGUUAAGGCCAAAGCUAACUUGUUAGAGCGAGGCGGCCCGUUCAACUCCAAUAAACGAGGGCGUCCUAAUUCAAAGGACAAAGGCAAGGGAAUAGCACCCGCCCGUAAGUUUUAUGGCGAUACUUGGUGAAGGAUUGUGACGAAGUUGUCGUUCGAGCUUCGCACAAAUAAAUUUAUCAUGUGCCCACAACUAGGUUAGCUAGCAGUAAGUCCAAAGUCGAAUCCACAGGGAACUGAGCAAUAAUCUCUCCUGCAAGGGUGUCACUAAAAAGGAUUUUGUUCUUGAUGGUUCUUUCCACAACUUGCUUAUGGGCAGAACAGGGUUUCAGACCAAACUGAAAUCACAAAAAUAACUUGAUCAAAUAAUAAAACAAUUCUGACUUGGGUUUGAUUCACUAAACAUGAAUUAGGCACUCGAUCAUUGGUGCAAAGAUAAUUCACUACACUCGUAUACAAGUUGGUUAUAGAAAAAAGACAGCUACGCCCCUAUUGUCACGCGUCACGCACGUAACAGCCCUCUGCCCAAUCUAUCAUUUCAGUGUAUAAUCCCUUAGAAGUUAUCAGCUAAUGUGAAUUAACUACCCCAGGCAACAUUCACUGUCUACAUUGGCCUCACGCUAAGAGUGCUUUGCCCAAGAUGCAUUCGGAUUUAGAUAGACCCAACUUAACUAUUACGUGGAAUAUUUCACCACAGUCACGGCUCCAACACUCAUUGUACUCUCCAGAGGUCGAUGGUGUUUCGUCUUUACCCAGAGGUUACUUGUGGCCAGAACUACCUAGUGAUCAAUUAAUUAACCAAGUUGUCCAAACCGUAUUUUAAUUAAACCUAGUGUAUCGAAAAAUAAUCAUACUUAUUUGAUUUCAAAUCAAAAGGCUAACCACAGAACAAGAAAACAACGUUCGCCUUCCCCCCCCCCCCCCACACACACUUUACUUGGGCAAAGUGGGUAUGUAGAGGGGGUCGAAAAAUAGACUCUAAACUCACUUUGUAGCUAUCUUCACCAUCAUUGACUUGAUAUAACUUGAAAUCAUAUUCACCACUUAAAAGUGAAAAAGAGGCAAAAAAAGAUUUGAAGAAUUGUUUCUCAAAAUCUAUAUAAACAGUAAGUGUAUAUACCUUAGAAGCAUGUUUGAUAAUUCUAGGCACGGGUAAUGAUGAGACCGAUUGUGCUCUUGUACGUAGACGGUGGCGGCAUCGGCUUCUCAUCCGACGGUGGGAAAGAGCUUGAUGGGUCUUGACAUGAGAGAGGGGGAGUUGCCUAAGGUUUCAACGAGGGUGGGGCAUUACGUUUGCCAGUCGAAUAUCUUGACCUCCCACUCUCAGUACGCAUCCGGCACCACCGAUUCUGACAGCUCCACCACUUACCCCUUCGCCGUGAAAUCCUCAUCAAAUCUGUCCCAUUCUCUCGAUAUCUUUACAGCAAAUUCCACCCAACCUUCAAUUGACACACAAAUACAUGAUACUAAAUGAAUCAAUUGUUAAUUAAACAAAAUAGUAGGAGAAAAUCGACUCAAUUAUUGGUGGUUGUAGAUGUCGAAGCGAUGAAGUUUAUUAUAUAAACUUCACUUAGGGUGGCAACCAGGUUACUUAUUUAGGGUCACCUCUGUUCGUGGGCAGGCCCCGCGUCUCUCAUUUCGUUGGUAUCAAAGAUAGAAUUGUGCAUAAAUUCUCGAAAUGGGUGGGCUUGCACUUGUCUAUGGCUGGAUGUAUUUGUUUGGUCAAAUCCGUUAUACAAAGCUCAAUUAUUCACACUAUGAUGGUGUUUCGCUGGCCGAAAUCCCUUCUUUAUGAAUUGGAUCGUAAAUGCAAAAACUUCAUAUGGACUGGCAAGACGGAGCAGAAACCAUCUUAUCCUGUGAAAUGGAGUCGCUGUUGUGCUCCUAAAGCAGAAGGUGGUUGCGAAUCUGUUCAUUCACCCUGAUAACAAAAGAGCUACCUUAAGAAGGUGUGGAAUUUAAUUAAAGGGAGCUCUUUCGCUCAUAAUUUGCUUAGAUCGCAUUACUUGACUAUUAAUGGUUAUGCGAAGAGGAAUAUGGCUAACUCUUCCGUUUGGAUUGGUUUAAAACAUCAGAUUGAUGAGCUUGUUGAUAACUCCUACUCGGCGGUUGGAGAUGGUAGAUCCACAUUUUUUUUGGGUGGAUUACUGGUUGGGUUAUAGAUUGUGUGAUAGACUCUAGAUCCCUCAUUAUAUUCAUGGGUUUCUAGUACAAUUUGUCUCAGAUUACUUUUAUGAUGGGUGCUGGCAUUUCUCGGAAAUUUCGUGGAGAAAUUUCCUGAUAUAGCUAGUUUGCGAUAUUCGGCUUCUCCCGAUGUCUGACACUCCGGACGCUCGGUUUUGGAAAUCCUCCCUUUGUGGCGACGUCACCUCUGCUUUAGCUUUUGUUAAUAUUCAUCAUCGAUACCCUAAGGUCUCUGGGGAUCUUAGUUGUGGGAUCAGGCGAUUUCAAUACGACGGUCUUUAGUUUGUUGGCACCUCAUGGCCAGUUGCCUACUUUGGAUUGUUUGAUUCGGCAGGGACUUAUUGCUCCUAAUGUUUGCCUGAUAUGCCUCAAAGUGGCGGAGUCUAUCUCUCACAUUUUUUGGGAAUGCACAUAUGUUGCGUCGGUCUGGGAAACUUUCCUUAAUUGGUUUGGACAUUCUCAAUUGCUCCAAUGUCCUGAUAUUACUAAUAUUAUUGCGUUAGCUUUCUUAAAGCUACCUUUAAGGAAACAGAUGCUGGCAAUAAUAAGCUUGGGUAUAUGUCGAAUGCAUGGAAUGACUAUCUCACCCUCCGCAAUCUCGGCGUAGCCUCUUACCCGGCUCCCCCGCCGGACUAUAUCUCGGUCUAUUGGUGGCCUCCUGCCACGAGUUGGAUCAAGAUAAAUACUGAUGGGUCAGCUUUAGGAUCGCCAGGGUUUAUCUUCGCUGGUGGCGUCUUUCGCGAUCAUACGGCUAUGGUUUGUGGCUGCUUACAUAUCAAGGGCGGCUCUAGAUUUGCUUUUGAGGCAUAAUUACUUGUUGUAAUCACCGCUAUUGCCAUCGCUCAUGGUCUUGGUUGGUCUUGGUUGGCAUUGUUUGUGGCUCGAAGCUGACUCUUCCUACGUUGUGGAUUUGCUCCAACGUCGGUCUAUGGAUGUUCCAUGGCAUUUUCUUAUUUGUUGGAAAGAAACUUUGGCCCGUCUCCAAGACCUUACUUUUCGUGUGUCUCACAUUUACAGGUAGAGGAACACGGUGGCGGAUAUUAUGGCGCACCCUUCUCGUCAAGAAGACUGGUAGUCGAACAUCAUAUAUGUUAUUGAGGUUAUUGUGAUUAACGACAUGGUUUCUCAUGGCCAUACUCGUCGUAUUUGAUGCAUGGGGUGCUUCUUGUUUCGUUUUGUUCUUUUUUCAAACACCUAGAGUGCAGCUAUUGGAGAUGAUUUCUUGCUACUACGUUCUUGCUUUGGCUUUAUCUUGGUUUCGUUCGGUGCCUUUUUCAAACACAUAGCAUUUAGGCGGGAGUUGCUGGGCUUCUUGCUACUGCUGGGCGAUGGUCGGUGUUCUCAGCGUGACCCACGCUGGACAUGGCAUUGUUGGAGAGGAGCCUGCUCUUCCCUCCAUGUUUGGUUUUUGGGUGGUGUUUUUGGCGUUUUGUGUUGCUUGUUGUUUGUCGGCUGGGGCUUCCCCCUUUCCAUGCUUUGUGUAAUCGUUUUGUUUGUUUGUGUCCGGGUUGUGAAGGGCAAUGGUUAGGUUGGAGUUCCUAAAGGGUUCUCUCUCGCUUUCACUCCUGUUUCUUUCCUCCUUUGUCUUGUGAGACAGGUACUCUUUUUUCACUUUAAGCUCUUUCCCUCUGAGUUUUGCUUAAAGUGGUUUUAACGAGGCUCGGCCCUUAGUUUGCUCUUUGUGCUCUCAAGGGUUUUAGUUUGAUUCUCUUUUUCUCUUUUUUAUAUAAAACUUAAAUUUAAUUAUUUAAAUAAGUCAAAGCCUGCUUGACCCAACUGAAGAGAUCCAGCUGGAGUCCCAGACUGAUGGAAAAUUUUCAGCCUGAAGGAUUAGUAAUGUAGCUGAGUUGAUCGGGGUUUGUGCCAAAGCCACAUAACACGAGGACUUUGUUGUACUCAAUGUUAAGCUAAUGGAGCAGACUGACAGAAAGACAACAUGCUGACCCGUGCUCAGCUUCACUCAUGCCAUGUCAGCCCUUUGGUCGAUAGGCUCAAAGCAAAGUUAACCCCUAAAGCAUAUAUUUUUUCUGACAUUAAAUGCUUCUGAAUAUGUAUUAAAUUUGAAUCGCACUUUUCAGAUGUAAGUACAAGGAUGACUGUUGGACAUCAACAUCAGUACAGAUGUGUUGAUCUAUCAUCCCAAUCAUUCUUUGCUACAACGGAAAGAAUUGAAAGAGAAUAACAAUUAGAAAUUUGAAAAAUGCUCAGGCUAAAUUCAUUAUUUAGUUUAUAUACAUCGAAAGAACCAAACACAUGGUUGUGGUGAUGGUAAACAUGAAGUUGUUAUGUAUUGUUAAGAUAAAUCAUUAGCAACCAACAAACUAUCAUGAAUAGAAACUAGAUUUACAUUGUAAAUUUCAACUUCAUAACUUGUGAAUAUAUUUGUAGUUCCUAAACUAGGCGUUUUCAAUGUAAGGGGCCGUUUGAUUUGCAGUUUAGGAUUGAUUAGGAUUAAAAUUAUCUUGAGAAAUUAGUGUGGAUUUAUAUUAUUUCAUGGGUGUUUGAUAUCAUGGCUACUUAAUCUUAUAUUGUGUUUGAUAUCCAUAGGAUUAUGUUGGAUUAUAUUAUCUAAUACCAAAACUAUCCUCGUAUAAUUUUAAAAAUAUCAUGUGUGUCCACCAUUACUUGGGCAUUUGCAUCGAUAUGUGUGAGGAAUGGUAGCAGAAUUUUUAUCCAACUUCGCAGUAUUAUAGUUAUCCGAAGGGGGGAGGGGGGCAGAUUAUUAGUAUGGGUUAUUCCCACAAAAUAGCAUGUAGAAGUGGGAUUAAGUAGGAGUUGACCACAUUAAUAGAACAUGAUAUCAAACAUCACACUAACCUGUAUUAAUUUAAUUUAUCCUACCUAUAAACUCAUAUCAAACAGGCCCUAAACAUCCUAACCUUAGCUAGGAAUGGCAAUGGAUAUUGGACCCAGCCCACAUCCGUGGAUUCAGAUCCGUUUUUCAAGAACUGGAUCUCAAAAUUUUGACCCGAUGGAUGUGGGCUAGAUUUGGAUCUCAAUUUAUAAAACGGAUCUGGAUCCGAAUCUUGAAUUUUUAGAUUCGGUUCGGCCCCAAAUCUGACUCGUGGACCCAUUUUUUAAUAUAUAUUAUUAUAUUUUAUAUUUACUUUUUUUAAUAAUAUAAAACAUAAAGUUAAAUAUUAAAAAUCAACAAUAAUACUAAUACUUUACACAAUAUAAAUAUCAAACAUAAAUACAAAUAUAUAAAAUAUAAACAAAUAUUAAAAAUCAAUAUAGCAUUAGAUCCGCGGAUCUGACAAAUAUUGAUCUGGAUCACAAAUUUUCAGACCCGUCGAAUUUGGGUUGGAUCUAGAUCUCUAAAAAUAAAAAGGAUCUGAAUCUAAUACUUAUAAGAUCCAAUUUAAAUUCGACCCAUUGUCAUCCCCGGCCCUAGCACUGAACAAACUUAUACCCCUUUUCAUUAUAGCUAAGUUAAGAGACAUUUUGAACUUAGAAGUUAUGCUAAUUCACGUCGGAUAAAGAAAAUGAUUUAUUUUAAAUUCCAACAAAAUGAUUUACUAAGCCACUGAAAUUUAUUUACAGUUCACAUAAUUCAAUCUUGAGUGAUUUUAAUUGUCAAAUCCUCACUCACCUCACUCACAUUUCCAUCAAAAGCUACACUCCUACAUUUAACUGUUUUUAGCCAUAUACUUGGCACUUGGCUGACCAAUCUCCAAGUUCCAGCAAAUUUCAUUCACAAGGUUCCUAGCUUAACUCAUUCCAAUUACAAUCUUUUUCUCAAGUACUCCCUCUGUCCCACUCCAAAUGUUCCAUUUUCUAUUUUGGGUUGUCCCACUCCAAAUGUCUCAUUCCUUUUUGUACAAUACACUCUCUCUCUAUACUUAAUAUUUAAAUAAUUUCCAACAACCCACUUUAUCUACUUUAUACCCACUUUAUCUACUUUAUACAAAUUUCUUAAUCUCCGUGUCCAAAAGAAAUGAGACAUUUGGAGCGAGACGGNACCGGCGAACUCUCGGUGAGCUUCAGGCCCCCGACAACCCAUUAGCUCGGGUGUCCAAUUCCACAGGGCACCGGAGCCGUGUUGUGGAGGAGCGCGGGGACGAGGAGGAUGUACCUAGACAGCCUCGUACGACUCGCAGUCACAGUGUCCGGGGCCCUGUGAGGGAUGCUCGACAGCACGAGCCGGCUCGUCAUUCAGUAGAUCCGGGCUCGCGCCCUGUGAGGGAUGCUCGACCCCACGAGCCGGCUCGUCAUUCAGUAGAUCUGGGCAAGCGCCCAGCGCCGCAUACUUCUUCAUCGUCGAGCGGAUCUCGGACUGUAUCCAGUCCCAGCGAGGGUGAGUUGGUCUAGCUGAAAUACUCGACAUUCGCAUUUUUUCUUCUCUAGAUCCACCUUGAAGCUUCUGUCAGCAGUUUGCACCUUAUACUUCAUGCCACUCAACCUUUGUGCAGUGUAUCGACGACUUUUUUGGACUUCAAUAGCUACCCUUUUACCAGCCUCAACAGUCAAGCCUUGCUCGAUUUGUUGUGCAGCCCUUAGUCGCUCGCUGAACCAUUUCUCAAUAACAAUUCUGAUUGCCUCUAACAUCGAGCAUAUAGGAAGUCUUCUUGCCCACAACAAUCUGGAAUUAAAAGCUUCAGCAGCAUUUGAUGUCAUAAAUGUUGAUUUGCUCGAUAUGCACCAUAUCGAGUAGAUACGGACGAGAAGAUGUCAGAGCUGUUUUGCUCUGGACUAAACAAGAGAUACGAGUUGUCUUGGCGAGUCAGAGUGCGCUGUCAUAUGCUGAAGCUUUAAAUCGAGCACUGGAUAUGGAACUGGCAAUGCAGCCAGAAAAGACGAGUCAAAUUUCUGUACCUCAGUCGAACCCGAACCCUCAAAGGGGAAAUCAACCUUUUUUCAGGACAGGGACAGAAACCAUUGAGACAUUUCAAGUGGGACGUAGUGCGUCCGUCCCACUCCAAAUGUUCCAUUUUCUAUUUUGGGUUGUCCCACUCCAAAUGUCUCAUUCCUUUUUUGACAAUACACUCUCUCUCUAUACUUAAUAUUUAAAUAAUUUCCAACAACCCACUUUAUCUACUUUAUACCCACUUUAUCUACUUUAUACAAAUUUCUUAAUCUCCGUGUCCAAAAGAAAUGAGACAUUUGGAGCGAGACGGAGGGAGUAUUAUUUAUGCAAAACUUCAAUUGGAGAACCCACACAUACAUCAUCCCAUACAUUUGUAUAACAGUUUAUUUAUAUCAAUAGUCAUGCACACAACUGUGUAUACUUAUGAAUGAAAGCAUGAUUUAUGUAAAAAAAAAAGAGAAGUUGAGUUGAAGCUUUGAUUUUUAACCUUUAUUUUUUAACCGCGAUGUCUGAGUCGGGUUGCGGCCUCUGUUUGUGUUGGUGUGUCUUGGUGGAGUCGGUNGUCU
RNAcentral lists this long non-coding RNA (7602 nucleotides) under Salvia miltiorrhiza (redroot sage). RNAcentral's name for it is "long non-coding RNA (SMIL_LNC008032)". Lineage: Eukaryota; Viridiplantae; Streptophyta; Magnoliopsida; Lamiales; Lamiaceae. The record is from RNAcentral.